AUUCUGCCCAUGCGGGGAAGGAUGAGAAGCUUCGACUAAGGUUCGGCUCGAGCGUCAGCGAGAGAGCGUUGCCGCAGGCAACGACCCGAAGGGCGAAGCGCGCAGCGCU
This 109-nucleotide small RNA is filed under the name Escherichia coli. RNAcentral describes it as "partial RtT sRNA". It matches the Rfam family "RtT RNA", at positions 1 to 107 of the family's 130-position model. From Rfam's summary of the family: This family represents a bacterial cis-regulatory element known as RtT RNA. The exact function of RtT is unknown although it is thought that it may be involved in changing the cellular response in relation to amino acid starvation. The record is from RNAcentral. Lineage: Bacteria; Pseudomonadati; Pseudomonadota; Gammaproteobacteria; Enterobacterales; Enterobacteriaceae.